UACGUAGGGGGCUAGCGUUGUCCGGAUUCAUUGGGCGUAAAGCGCAUGCAGGCGGCUUGGUAAGUCAUCGGUGAAAUCCCUCGGCUCAACCGGGGGGGGUCCGGCGAAACUGCCAGGCUUGAGGUCGGGAGGGGGAAGCGGAAUUCCGGGUGUAGUGGUGGAAUGCGUAGAUAUCCGGAGGAACACCAGUGGCGAAGGCGGCUUCCUGGCCUGUUCUUGACGCUGAGGCGCGAAAGCUAGGGUAGCAAACGGG
RNAcentral lists this ribosomal RNA (253 nucleotides) under uncultured bacterium. RNAcentral describes it as "partial 16S ribosomal RNA". It matches the Rfam family "Bacterial small subunit ribosomal RNA", at positions 524 to 776 of the family's 1533-position model. The record is from RNAcentral.